CACUGUUGGUAAGGGGCAGAAUUAAGACUAAAUCCAGGCUCAUGUGACCCCUCCCUCCAACCUUGAUUCUGGGGCACAUAUCUUUAUCAGGUGGAUAUGAUAGGAACAAUGAUGGGGAUGCAAAUAAAGGACUAACAUCUAGGACUGAAUCUGGACACUUGUAGCUGAAUUGAGGAGCCUGAGCACAUUAAUGUUGAAAAUGGAAUCUGGUCACCUGCAGAAGCUCGAGACUGGUUCACUCUCAGUGGGCCCAAGGGUCAGGAAGAGUUUCUCUGAAGAGAGCACAGGAAUGAAAACAGAGGCUAAGAAGGCGUUCACGGGGCUUCGGGCUGGAGGAAGGAUGUGAGUUAGGGCUGCAUGUAUACUGACUGCAGCCCAAGGCUCAGCCCCGUCUCCUGGCAGCCCCGCCCCUGAAGGCCCUGCAGAGUUAGCAAAGCUGCAGGCAAGGGCAGUCCAACCGAGGUUCCCGAGCCCGAGACCUUGCAUAGUGACCCACUGCGUCCCAACCCGGCCGGGCGCGCACGUAUCUUUGGGCCAUCAGCGGCGGUGCAACUUCCCUAGAAGACAACUUUAGUCCAACCUGCGGGCUCGGUGCAGGGGAGCGCUGAGCCCCUCAGGGAACUCGCGCUCAGGUGGAGGAUCCCUGCCCUAUUGCAGCGGCUCAAAGGAGGACUUGGGGGCAGCCGGCGAUAGUGCCUGGGAUGUCGGACAAUUUGGGUCCCCCAAGAAGAGGACGAGGACAUCCCGGGAGCCUCGGAAGAGGAGG
RNAcentral lists this long non-coding RNA (766 nucleotides) under Heterocephalus glaber (naked mole-rat). RNAcentral describes it as "lncRNA (ENSHGLG00100029306.2)". The record is from RNAcentral. Lineage: Eukaryota; Metazoa; Chordata; Mammalia; Rodentia; Bathyergidae.